This 253-nucleotide ribosomal RNA is filed under the name uncultured bacterium. Its description in RNAcentral is "partial 16S ribosomal RNA". It matches the Rfam family "Bacterial small subunit ribosomal RNA", at positions 524 to 776 of the family's 1533-position model. The record is from RNAcentral.
UACAGAGGUCCCAAGCGUUGUUCGGAUUCACUGGGCGUAAAGGGUGCGUAGGUGGUGGGGUAAGUCGGAUGUGAAAUCUCCGGGCUCAACCCGGAAAUGGCAUUGGAAACUACCUUGCUGGAGGAUUUGAGGGGGGAUUGGAAUACUUGGUGUAGCAGUGAAAUGCGUAGAUAUCUGGAGGAACACCGGUGGCGAAGGCGGCAUCCUGGACCGAUACUGACACUGAGGAGCGAAAGCCAGGGGAGCAAACGGG